Molecule: unclassified non-coding RNA, 349 nt
Filed under: soil metagenome
Description: partial contains 5.8S ribosomal RNA, internal transcribed spacer 2, and large subunit ribosomal RNA
Rfam family: 5.8S ribosomal RNA (bases 1-120)
Source: RNAcentral
GAUGAAGAACGUAGCGAACUGCGAUAAGUAAUGUGAAUUGCAGAAUUCAGUGAAUCAUCGAGUCUUUGAACGCACAUUGCGCCCCCUGGCAUUCCGGGGGGCAUGCCUGUCCGAGCGUCAUUGCUGCCCUUCAAGCCCGGCUUGUGUGUUGGGUCGUCGUCCCCCCCGGGGGACGGGCCCGAAAGGCAGCGGCGGCACCGCGUCCGGUCCUCGAGCGUAUGGGGCUUUGUCACCCGCUCGAUUAGGGCCGGCCGGGCGCCAGCCGGCGUCUCCAACCUUUUAUUUUACCAGGUUGACCUCGGAUCAGGUAGGGAUACCGCUGAACUUAAGCAUAUCAAUAAGCGGAGGA